CCGACCGGCGCACGGGUGAGUAACACGUAUGCGACCUGCCCCCCGCAGGGGGAUAACCGGGAGAAAUCCCGACUAAUACCGCGUAACGCCGCGGGGCUGCAUGGCCCUGCGGCCAAAGGGAGCGAUUCCGGCAACGGAUGGGCAUGCGUGACAUUAGCUAGUUGGCGGGGCAACGGCCCACCAAGGCGACGAUGUCUAGGGGUUCUGAGAGGAAGGUCCCCCACACUGGUACUGAGACACGGACCAGACUCCUACGGAAGGCAGCAG
RNAcentral lists this ribosomal RNA (267 nucleotides) under uncultured bacterium. Its description in RNAcentral is "partial 16S ribosomal RNA". It matches the Rfam family "Bacterial small subunit ribosomal RNA", at positions 91 to 354 of the family's 1533-position model. The record is from RNAcentral.